CCUACGUGAGGCAGCAGUGGGGGAUAUUGCACAAUGGGGGAAACCCUGAUGCAGCGACGCCGCGUGUGGGAAGACGGUCCUCUGGAUUGUAAACCACUGUCCCCAGGGACGAAGAUGAAGGUACCUGGGGAGGAAGCUCCGGCUAACUACGUGCCAGCAGCCGCGGUAAUACGUAGGGAGCGAGCGUUGUUCGGAAUUACUGGGUGUAAAGGGAGCGUAGGCGGGACUGCAAGUUGGGGGUCAAAUCUACCGGUUCAACCGGUAGCCGCACUCAAAACUGCAGUUCUUGAGUGAAGUAGAGGCAGGCGGAAGUCCUAGUGUAGCGGUGAAAUGCGUAGAUAUUAGGAGGAACACCAGUGGCGAAGGCGGCCUGCUGGGCUUUUACUGACGCUGAGGCUCGAAAGUGUGGGGAGCAAACAGGAUUAGAUACCCGUGUAGUC
RNAcentral lists this ribosomal RNA (440 nucleotides) under uncultured bacterium. Its description in RNAcentral is "partial 16S ribosomal RNA". It matches the Rfam family "Bacterial small subunit ribosomal RNA", at positions 338 to 795 of the family's 1533-position model. The record is from RNAcentral.